This 403-nucleotide ribosomal RNA is filed under the name uncultured bacterium. RNAcentral's name for it is "partial 16S ribosomal RNA". It matches the Rfam family "Bacterial small subunit ribosomal RNA", at positions 28 to 526 of the family's 1533-position model. The record is from RNAcentral.
GACGAACGCUGGCGGCGUGCCUAAUACAUGCAAGUCGAACGCAGUGGGGACGGGUGAGUAACACGUGGGUAACCUCCCGUAAGAGGGGAUAACAGUUGGAAACAGGUGCUAAACCGAUACGGAUUUAUGUACCCGGGGUGCAUUAGGUAGUUGGUGGGGUAACGGCUCACCAAGGCCACGAUGCAUAGCCGAGCGGAGAGGGUGAUCGGCCACACCGGGACUGAGACACGGCCCAGACUCCUACGGGAGGCAGCAGUAGGGAAUCUUCGACAAUGGACGAAAGUCUGACCGAGCAACGCCGCGUGAGUGAAGAAGGUUUUCGGAUCGUAAAGCUCUGUUGUUAGAGAAGCGGUAUCUAACCAGAAAGCCACGGCUAACUACGUGCCAGCAGCCGCGGUAAUAC